Molecule: long non-coding RNA, 1146 nt
Organism: Callorhinchus milii (elephant shark)
Lineage: Eukaryota; Metazoa; Chordata; Chondrichthyes; Chimaeriformes; Callorhinchidae
Exons: 3
Source: RefSeq, a predicted model, not a curated record
ACGUGGGCCGGGUACACCAGGGGACCUGUGCACAGGACAUAUUCAAGGUGAAAACUGAACUACACAACUUCAUUACUCACUAUCUCAAUAUACACCGAGCCGCGCCGAGGACCCGACUGACGCUGAAUACACAUGAGCUUUCCCUGACCGGCUAAAGGAGGAUUUUAUAACCAGUGAGAAACUCAAACCUUCCUCAACACACACACACUCGCCAGCUUUUCCUGUUGUAUCCUCUGAUCAGUAUCACUGUUUAGGAACUAUUUAGACCUCCAUAUAUCAACUGAUUUACUUUUAAAAACAACCCCGCUGCGAUUUGCAAGUGGGAGUUUUGAGAACCCGGUGACCCAAGUCAGUCUCAGAGUUGAGGCGUUUUAAUGUCACGGUUUCAAGCGGCGAAGCCCAGGCAGUGAAUCAAUCUCCUCUCGUUUAAUUGAUCGGUUGCAAUUAUUCCAGAGAUACACUGGAGCGAGUCAUUAGUUAGAUAUACCUCUCUGUAUAAAAAUGCCCCUUCACGACUGAGCAAAAGAACGCCUCUCUCCAUCUCUCGAAAGUAAAUGACCCUUUUCUCCCUUUCUCCCCCUACAAUCAAAUCUGUCUUAUGGAGUCAGAAUUUCAUUCACUCUGAAUUGCUAAGUUUAUAUAUCCCACCACCACACAUUUGCAACACACACACACACACAAUCCAAUCGCGGGACUGAAUCUUUAACCCAUUCACAAGGAUAUUAAUGGGCAUUCAAACGUUUACCAUGUUACUAAUCCACUUUUUUAAUGUACCAAUUCUUCAAUCUAUAUCCCAAACCAAUAAAAAAAAACUUUUGCAUAGAAUGCAACUGGCUUAUUACCACCGAAUUUUUUCUAAAACAAAAAUUGAAUGGCAGGCAUCCGUAUAAAACUGGCUCAUUUUCGACCACUAUGUUGUCAUUCGUAUACUCACUUACCUUCACAUUACCAACCGCCCAUAACAUGACACUACCCUUACCUGAAACACAUUGCACAAACAACAGACCCUCACAGCCACACCACCCCACCCAAAUUCCUCAGUUUGUCCCCUUUAUUAGUUCAAUGACCGCGUUGAGUGCACCUGUUUUUUUGUUGUUGUUGCAGAACUCAAUACAUUUAAACCAUACCCAUAUACUCCAAGCCUUC